Molecule: long non-coding RNA, 1572 nt
Organism: Branchiostoma floridae (Florida lancelet)
Lineage: Eukaryota; Metazoa; Chordata; Leptocardii; Amphioxiformes; Branchiostomatidae
Exons: 2
Source: RefSeq, a predicted model, not a curated record
AUCCGUGUAGCUGCGCCAGACUCCCUUGUGUACGUCCAUGGCAGUAUGCCUUCAGCUUUUAGUUCCAAUUCUUUGGUAGCCGGGAGACUUUGGUUCAAUCUCAGGGCAUCUCGGUUUGGCCUAAUAUAAAUAUAAAACAUAAGUAGACAUGUAUUGGAUUUACGUUUACAGAAGCGGACUGUAUUACUUCCGUAUAUUCUAGUUAUUACGCCAACCUUGGAAAUUAAAUGUUUCAAUUGGCAGUUAAAGCAAAGGACCAGACGUCAUGACACAAUAAUACACUUCAUUAACCCUUUAAUAUAACCCAAACUACAGUAACAGUGAGUGUGUAUUAUUGGAGUAUAACUUCAUGCACUGCAUUUCAGACGAUCCGAUCUCGAUGGAACUAUGGCUGGAACUAGUCACCGCGCUUGUGGGACUCAUUGGGGCGAUCAUCGUCAUUUAUAACAGGUGUUGCAAGAGGAGCGCCAGGGACAAUCCGGGGGACUGUGCGUGCUGAACAGCCAGACCAACAGUUAUCACCGCCUUGAUUCUAGGAAACACUGAAAACCAACAAUAACACAUUGCACAUGGCCGUGAUACGUGUGUCUUCCGGACUAGCCAAAAUCACCUCGCAAGGAACCAAUAGAGCAAGAAAUGUAAAGCGCAGCUGGCAAUGGGAAGAUAAUAUCAUAGAAUGGACAGGCAUGGCAAUGAGUGAAACAUUAAGAAAACCAUCUGCAGAUACUAGUAACCGAGAAGGAUGGAGAAAACAGCAAGCUAGACUACGGGAUAGAUAUGAGGGGAAACUAGGAUGAGAUUUUGCCACCUGUAGAACGUAGUGUCACUUUAAGCACCAGAAGACUCGACAAACUAUGUUCGAUCUCACUCCAUAAUAGCUUUAGGAAAAUGGAAAUUCUUGAUUACAUCACCACAUGCCCUCUUCUUAUUUUCUUCUGUUUCGUAUAUUAUGUAUUAGUACCUUGAUCAUAUCAACUAGUCGUUCCUGAGCUGCAGUACCUUUACCAUUCACUAGAUGGCGGUUGCAGUACCUUCACCAGUCACUGGGCGGCGCUUCCACAGCACCGUGUCACGGUCAGGUGCGGCCCGUUUUAUAUGAAGAUGACGUGAGAUGCGAUAAAGAUACACGCAAAGGGAACUCAUAUGGCGGUUUGAUAACAAGAAACAAAACGUUAGAAAAAACGUGAAAGAGUUAGUUUUUGUGUUGAAGAAUGUUGAAGUGAGGUUCAAUACUAAAGUACGUCAUCUGCAAAAUGUGUUUGACUGGUCGGUAUAUAUGUAGGGUGUAGUAGUAAAGUCCAAUAUGUGGCAGUCUGGAAACUUCAAAAGUACUGAAAUAUCUAAUGUGAUGUAAGUUUUCUAUUUCUAUAAGUAUUAAUGUUAGGAUGAAUAAUUAUAAACAUAUGAGCGUGUUUUAUAUAUAUAGAGCAGUUGGAUUCUAAUGUAUAUACGUUAAGGAUGUUGUUCCUUUUAUGCCAGAGUGGAAUUCAGUAGAUGUGCUUUCUAUUCUAUUCUAUUCUAUUGUCUUCUUGUCCAUGCCUGACUUAUGAAAUAAAGAAAACUUUUCAAUGA